GGAAGGAUCAUUAAAGAAUCGCCCCGUUUUUUGAAAUGGGUUCUAUUCCCAAACCGUGUAUACAUACCUUUGUUGCUUUGGCAGGCCGCCUUCUAGGCGUCGGCUCCGGCUGACUGCGCCUGCCAGAGGACCCAAACUCUUUUGUUUAGUGAUGUCUGAGUACUAUAUAAUAGUUAAAACUUUCAACAACGGAUCUCUUGGUUCUGGCAUCGAUGAAGAACGCAGCGAAAUGCGAUAAGUAAUGUGAAUUGCAGAAUUCAGUGAAUCAUCGAAUCUUUGAACGCACAUUGCGCCCCUUGGUAUUCCGAGGGGCAUGCCUGUUCGAGCGUCAUUAUAACCAUUCAAGCCUCGGCUUGGUCUUGGGGUUCGCGGUUUCNCGGCCCUUAAAUUCAGUGGCGGUGCCGUCUGGCUCUAAGCGUANUAAUUCUCUCGCUAUAGGGUCCAGGUGACCACCUGCCAGAACCCCCCAUUCUUUACGGUUGACCUCGGAUCAGGUAGGG
This 500-nucleotide ribosomal RNA is filed under the name uncultured fungus. RNAcentral describes it as "eukaryotic LSU rRNA". The stretch from base 178 to 331 matches the Rfam family "5.8S ribosomal RNA". The record is from RNAcentral. Lineage: Eukaryota; Fungi.